This is a long non-coding RNA of Cyprinus carpio carpio, 1334 nucleotides long. Lineage: Eukaryota; Metazoa; Chordata; Actinopteri; Cypriniformes; Cyprinidae. The record is from Ensembl.
CUGGUGUAAUCAGCUGUUUGAGUAUAACUCUGGUCUAUUUGCUUUUGUUUUCUAGCUACUCGUUUUGAGACAAUCCGUAAACUGAACUCACUGCUGAAGGAAGAAGAACCUACAGAGCUGACAAAGAGGGCCUCAGUGGCCCCCCAAAAAUAUGGGGACGAUUCAGAUUGCUAAACUGAUAUUGAAACUCAGUCUCAGCAAGCAAAGAAGUCAAAGGCUCCCAGGAGGAUAGACCCUGCAGAAGAGUUUCUUAGGCUAUACGGUCAAUCACAGCCUUCUUCAGAUAAUCACAACAGUCCGACUCAGACUGUGGCUGAAUUAAAGCAGGAGAUCAAGGACCUGAAAGAAGAGAACGCGAAGUUGAAGGAGAUUGUUCUUCAAGAUGUGCCAGGACUCCUACUGAGUUUGAGGAAUAUAAUAGAUUCGGCUGCACCUCCUAAGAGAUCCAGGGUGGAGCCUACCAAAGCAUUACCGGCCCUUCCAGGGUCUCCGCAGUCCAGGUCCAGUUCUCCAUGUGCCACUUCGCUGUCCCUCCCCAGAUCUACGCUGUCCAGUUCCACAUCUGUGUCUCCAUCCCUGACUGCCUCCCAGUCUUCUAAGGUUGAGAUCCAUCCUGGGAUCGGAGUCAUGGUUGAGAAACUGGCGUGGGCCUAUGCCAUCAAUGCCAAUUCGGCAACAGUCUUUGUGAGACAUCUGCUCACUGCAGUCUUUCCAGUGGAAAUACUGCUGGUGCAACUCUUGAGAAGUGGCCUGGGACCCAGCUUUCCAGCAUUGGAAGUACGAUCAAUGCCAAGAUUACAGAACUCUGGUCAAAAAGUAAAAAUGCUGGUGUGUACACAGCUCCACAUUAAACUGUUUUGUUUGCUCUGAGUUUCACACAGGUGUAUCACAUAGUCCUUGGCCCUGGGGCAAAACAGGUUCUGACUACUGUCUACUGAAAGUAUUUACUGCUUAUGGUGCCUGUUUAUUCUGAGGUAUCCAGUGUGCAGAAGAACAAAACUGGCAUAUAUGUAAGCCAUUAAGGCAUUUUAAGUUUACAUUCUAAAAUGUUUUUGUUUGUGUACUUUGCAAUUUCAAAAUUGAGUAUACUCAAAAUAUCUAAGUAAACAGUAUAGGCAAUAUUAGCAUUAUGCUCAGAGCGAUUGAUUGCACUUAAGCCCCAUGCCUCGUUCCUUGAAUGUGAAUACACCUGUUUGUAUUGACAAUGUUUAGUUGUUGGUGACACUGUUCCCAUGUUAGAAUAGGAAUAGGAUAAGCAUGUGCUCCUCAGGUUUGUAUGCAGGCUUGUAGUGUGUGUAAAUAUCAAAUUGUGAAAGAUAUUCCUAUGUAGUCAC